Molecule: ribosomal RNA, 599 nt
Filed under: Salmonella enterica subsp. enterica serovar Infantis
Lineage: Bacteria; Pseudomonadati; Pseudomonadota; Gammaproteobacteria; Enterobacterales; Enterobacteriaceae
Also listed under: 7 other names
Description: partial 23S ribosomal RNA
Rfam family: Bacterial large subunit ribosomal RNA
Source: RNAcentral
CCUUUAAUGUUUGAUGUUCUAACGUGGACCCGUAAUCCGGGUUGCGGACAGUGUCUGGUGGGUAGUUUGACUGGGGCGGUCUCCUCCUAAAGAGUAACGGAGGAGCACGAAGGUUGGCUAAUCCUGGUCGGACAUCAGGAGGUUAGUGCAAUGGCAUAAGCCAGCUUGACUGCGAGCGUGACGGCGCGAGCAGGUGCGAAAGCAGGUCAUAGUGAUCCGGUGGUUCUGAAUGGAAGGGCCAUCGCUCAACGGAUAAAAGGUACUCCGGGGAUAACAGGCUGAUACCGCCCAAGAGUUCAUAUCGACGGCGGUGUUUGGCACCUCGAUGUCGGCUCAUCACAUCCUGGGGCUGAAGUAGGUCCCAAGGGUAUGGCUGUUCGCCAUUUAAAGUGGUACGCGAGCUGGGUUUAGAACGUCGUGAGACAGUUCGGUCCCUAUCUGCCGUGGGCGCUGGAGAACUGAGGGGGGCUGCUCCUAGUACGAGAGGACCGGAGUGGACGCAUCACUGGUGUUCGGGUUGUCAUGCCAAUGGCACUGCCCGGUAGCUAAAUGCGGAAGAGAUAAGUGCUGAAAGCAUCUAAGCACGAAACUUGCCCCGA